This 211-nucleotide unclassified non-coding RNA is filed under the name soil metagenome. RNAcentral's name for it is "partial contains 5.8S ribosomal RNA, internal transcribed spacer 2, and large subunit ribosomal RNA". The record is from RNAcentral.
AACAAGGCGUACCUGCGGACCUGCGGAGGGAUCAUUACAAGUGACCCCGGUUUACCACCGGGAUGUUCAUAACCCUUUGUUGUCCGACUCUGUUGCCUCCGGGGCGACCCUGCCUUCGGGCGGGGGCUCCGGGUGGACACUUCAAACUCUUGCGUAACUUUGCAGUCUGAGUAAACUUAAUUAAUAAAUUAAAACUUUCAGCAAUGGAUCU